RNAcentral lists this ribosomal RNA (279 nucleotides) under Patescibacteria group bacterium. Its description in RNAcentral is "partial 16S ribosomal RNA". It matches the Rfam family "Bacterial small subunit ribosomal RNA", at positions 1183 to 1469 of the family's 1533-position model. The record is from RNAcentral.
CGUCAAAUCAGCGUGGCCUUUAUGCCUUGGGCGACACACGUGCUACAAUGGACAGGUCACAAUGGGUUGCGAGGCCGUAAGGCGGAGCUAAUCCCACCAAAACUGUCCCAAGUUCGGAUUGGGGUCUGCAACUCGACCCCAUGAAGCUGGAAUCGCUAGUAACCGCAGAUCAGCCAUGCUGCGGUGAAUACGUUCUCGGGUCUUGUACACACCGCCCGUCACACCAAGAAAGUGAGAAACAUCCGAAAUCUCUCGGUUACGAGGGCCUAAGGUGGAGCU